This 420-nucleotide ribosomal RNA is filed under the name Fusobacteriota bacterium. RNAcentral's name for it is "Fusobacteria bacterium partial 16S ribosomal RNA". It matches the Rfam family "Bacterial small subunit ribosomal RNA", at positions 355 to 776 of the family's 1533-position model. The record is from RNAcentral. Lineage: Bacteria; Fusobacteriati; Fusobacteriota.
UGGGGGAUAUUGCACAAUGGGCGAAAGCCUGAUGCAGCGACGCCGCGUGGGGGAUGAAGGCUUUCGGGUUGUAAACCUCUUUCGCUAUCGAACAAGGCCCGCUUAGGGUGGGUUGAGGGUAGGUGGAGAAGAAGCGCCGGCUAACUACGUGCCAGCAGCCGCGGUAAUACGUAGGGCGCGAGCGUUGUCCGGAAUUAUUGGGCGUAUAGGGCUUGUAGGCGGCUUGUUGCGCCUGCUGUGAAAACGCGGGGCUUAACUUCGCGCGUGGAGUGGGUACGGGCAGGCUUGAGUGAGGUAGAGGUGACUGGAAUUCCAGGUGUGGCGGUGGGAAGCGCAGAUAUCUGGAGGAACACCGAUGGCGAAGGCAGGUCACUGGGCCAUUACUGACGCUGAGGAGCGAAAGCAUGGGUAGCGAACAGG